AAAAAAAAAAAAUGCUUAAUUUAUCGACGCUUGGCGAUAUUUAUCGAUUCUCAAUCUCGAGUAUGGAUGUAUUUAGCUUCGGUAUUUCUUGUUUGGCAUAAAGCAAACUUUGCAAAGCCGCAUCAAAGAUAUACGCUUUCGUUGCGCACGACGCGCGUACGACGCGCGGCCACGCACGUGGAUACGCAAGCGGAGAUUGUCGCCAGUGACAUUGCGAUAUUCCCGCAGUCGAGAGGAAAGUCAUAAUUACGGUCGUCCGCUUGAGAUUUCACGGUUACCACGUCCGUCGCGCAUUCACGCGGGUUCCGUAAUCGCGCGGUGAGAUUGUCGGCACGCGGCUCCGUCGCGUCGCGACGCACAGCGAGCCAAAUCCCGAAAAGCUGGCCAAAAGUAAAAAAAAAAAUUUCAAAUUUUCAAGAAUAUCAUUACAUUUUUUAAAAGAGAACUAAAUUCCUUAUCAAAUGUCGCCAACCCUAGAAUCCUCUACCUGAAUUUUCAGUUCAGUUCAAAGUUGUCCUUCGUACGGAACAGACGUGACAGUUAAGAAUAACGAAUAUUUUAUACCUAUAGUCUUGUGCGCUUAUUUCGAAAACGAAGUGAGCAAAUUCAAUGCUGCAAAAUGGAUUCUAUUCCUGGAGGUUACACUUCGCUCUUUCAAAUAAAAAAAAAAUUAGCUGCCCAUAUCUGCCCCUCUGGUUUUGCGACAAUUUUUUGUACGAGCGCUCUACGCUGUGAGUUUCGAUAUCGAUCGCUAGCGGCAUAGAAUAAACAGAUGCUGCGGCAUUCAGGAGUUGAGCGACUACGGCAGCGCGAACCUGUUACGCAGCCUCGGUCACCCCGACUUUUGACCUCCCGCAUCCCCCUUCGAACAUUACUGAUUCUCAACCCGCUCGUACACAGCCCACCUGGCUGCCAUUGACUUCGUCGUGUCCUUUCAACGUUUCUCGGCGAUGCGAAAAAGAGAGGCUUGAUUAAUGUUGACUUUGCCGAGCGCGCUCUUCAUGUGCGCAAUAUGAAAAUAGAAGGAUAAUUGUGUGUUUAAUUUAAAUUUACAACUUUCUUCUCUGUUAUUGUGCGUCGACGAGGGCAAAGGAAGAACUUGAAUCCCUUGUUACUUUACUCGUGCCCGCCGCCAGCGUUUUAUAUCGACAUCGAACGAGAGGAAAAGAGCAGCGUCCCGUGAGACUUUAAUGCUGCAUUCAAUACGAAGUAUUUCAGGUUCAGUGGGACCGUAUGUUGCUACGGCUGCUUUAAUCUACUAAGCGAUUAGGAAAAGUUGCAGGAGAAUUUACUUUGCAAGGUACAGGUAAGGUUGUUCGCUAAGAAUAAACGAACGCGACAAAGUCGUAUACUGGAAUAUUUGAUCGAUUUCGCGAUUCAUCAGACAUGACUAGUGAAUGCCAAUUGACGCGCGCGCGCGCGCGUCGAGAAUCCGCCUGCGGCCAUUAUCCUAGCUGGUACUGACGUGACAAUCGCCAUGAUGUCGAAAACGCGUUGCAGCGUAGAAUCAAGUGCCGACGAGCAAACAUUCGUAAUCCCCCUGAGCCCGGCGGUGAACAAAGUCGGAAGGAAGAAGAGCACGGAUGGCGAUGUCUCCUGGAAAACUGAGCGCGCUACACUCACACGGUCAAGUCGUCACUUGAGGCAGUGUCUCGCAAUUUUACCUUUACCUUUACCACGCGAUCAGGUGGAGACGGCGGAAAGGCACGCGAGAGGGUUGACGAUCCGUCGGUUGAAGAGCCACUGGUCGAGGGGGAAGGAGAGAAACGAGCGAGUACGUUCGAGAACCCCUUCAACGCGGGGUAACUAGCUGGCAGGCAGGCAGGCAGGCAAGCAGGCAGGCAAGCAGACAGGCAGGCAAACAGCAGGCAUAGUCGGUUCGCACACAGGUGAGGCCGAUAUCGACCUGACGCCAGAAAUACCGCGCAGCAUCGACCGUCGCCGUUAUACCUGG
Solenopsis invicta (red fire ant) is the source of this 1954-nucleotide long non-coding RNA. RefSeq lists it as uncharacterized. The transcript has 3 exons. The record is from RefSeq and is a predicted model, not a curated record. Lineage: Eukaryota; Metazoa; Arthropoda; Insecta; Hymenoptera; Formicidae.